Molecule: long non-coding RNA, 225 nt
Filed under: Elaeis guineensis (African oil palm)
Lineage: Eukaryota; Viridiplantae; Streptophyta; Magnoliopsida; Arecales; Arecaceae
Description: long non-coding RNA (EGUI_LNC070193)
Source: RNAcentral
CGGUUGGAAGAAGUCCGGAAGGGAUUCGGAGAGUAGUUGAUUACUGUAGAAGGUCGGCUGGCAGUGAGGCCCAGAGAGCUUUUGGGGUGGCCCGGUAGAUGAAUGUAGAAGUUCAUUAUCGAAAAAGUCCGGACGGUCGAGAGGGUUCGGAGAGAUGCCACACACAAGGUCGAAAGUCGGAAGAGCCCUAGAAGGGUCGAUCUUUUACAAACUUCGGCCGGGGGG